This is a non-coding RNA of Lolium perenne, 2359 nucleotides long. The record is from RefSeq and is a predicted model, not a curated record. NCBI's taxonomy places the organism in Eukaryota, Viridiplantae, Streptophyta, Magnoliopsida, Poales, Poaceae.
AUUUUACCACCUAUAGAACUAUCAAAUUUUCUUUGUUCACUUUCAAUUUCAUGAUUGUGAUGUGAAACACACAUUCGUUAUAGCCGAUCCAGUCCAUAAUGGUUUACCGGUGCAAAAGGCAAAUGUUUGUGUCCUGUUGACUGCAUGUCGUGGUUUCUGAUGAUCGUGUUCCCCCUUUUCUAGCUGAUCUGUAUAGUAUAAGGUAUAUAACAAUAUGAUAGUUACAAUUAGGCAUGGAUGCUAUUUAAGCAGUGCUGCAUAGAAUCCCCUGCAUUUAUAAGUGUACAAUCCCUUGACUGGCCAGUGCGAAAACUUACAUUAUUUGUGUUUGGUUUAUUUUGGUACAGCCAAAGCAAAGAAAAAAUCCCACUAAUCUUGCAAUAGUAGUCUCGAAAUUAUAUUUGACUAAGUGGACAUUUAUAUGAUUUUCCCUUGCAGAGAUAUAUAUUCAUUUUUUCUCUAAUUUUUCCUGCCUUUCUGAUGGUACUGUGGCAUUAGUCCAUAAGAUACACCUGUGUUUUUUGUUUAUUUUUCUUAAAUUUUAUAUUCUUCGACUCAUCCGUGUGAUCAUCAAAUGUCUGUGAUUCCUUGCAGCAAUGGCUUUGAUCUGGUACUUCCGUGCACCCUCAAUUUAUAGGGUUGUUCCAGUUUUCUCCUCUGCUGUGCACGGAGUAUAUGGUACAAUAUUGUUUCUACGGUUUCUACAUAGUGCUCAAGCAAUUUCUACACAGUUCUUCUACAUGAUUACCAAGCAUUUUUUUCACCCGAUUUCUGUCAUGGGUUCUAUUAUCUAUUGGAAUUCCUGAUGUUAUUUUCGUUUUCCAUUUAUUGGCUUCAACGGAAUCCAUGGAACCGAAUUUGGUGUAAAAUCGUUGUUGUUUGCUGUAAUUGGCUCAGACAAUCUAUUCGUGCUUACAUUUGUUGUUUACAAACUGUUGACUAGCGUUUGUUUUGCAGGUUGCGCUGCUGUUUGGUAUUGAGGUUCUUUCUUCGCGUUGUGCUUGCCGAGUCUCUCAGAUAGCUAUAUGAGUUACACCUACUGAAUAGGCCAAAAGGCAGUAUCAAAGUUGGCCUACAGCUAGGAGACUCACCUCGAUAGUGCGUAGCGGGUAGAGUGACAGGGACGCUACAAGACGGACAAUGAGCACAAGCACCUCAAAUAAGUGAAAAUACCAUAUCACAUAAGUUAGUUAGAGUUUCUGAAAUGUAAUGCCUCUCAAUUGCAGGUGAAGUUUAAUUUGCUCAUUUUCACAUAGUACAUAAUCGAGUUUCUGUUUCUGUAAAAUAGGUAUCUCGUUAGUCCGAAGUGUGAGUUUUAAUCUCCUCAGUAUGUGCCAUAAAAUAUUUUUGGUGUUUGGAUGAAAGAGCAUGUGUGCCUUGCUUUUUUAGUUUUGUGACAACCUAUUUCAUAGAAUCGGACUAUUGGUCACCUGAAAUAUUUAUGUAUGUUACAUGUACUGCUCUUUCAGUUUUCUGAUGAUCUCACAUGACAACUUUCUUGCAUCAUGUUAGUUCAUUCCUUGACCACCUCUAGAGAGAUUACCUACAAUCUACAGUUCCCUGAAACAAGUAUGAUCGUUUAUGUUCGCAUGCUUUCAAUGUGUAUGUGUACCGAGUGAAUUGAUGUUGUUUUUGGUCCUCUGUUUUCAGGGUCUAUUUUCGCUGCACCAAACUAGAUGGACGAAGCUAGAUGGUCCAGAUUAUCCUUCAGCUCUGUGCCAGGGCCUUGUGCUUAAGCUUAUUGUGAUAGCAUCAACGCUGCCUUAUAAUGAUGUUUUUUGUCAUAGUGACGUUGGAAAUGUAGGCUUACCUGUGGCUUAUUUUGGUCUUCUUAACAAAGCUUAAGACAUCCUUUUCCAUGAGGAGGUGGUGCGAAUUUCACGGGGCCGUGUGCCAAAUCGUGUUUAAGCUAUGGAUGUCGGUGAGAUUCCAUCCAGGGUCAUGAUCAAGGCGGCAUUCACUGCAGUUUCCAAAGUCAUUCACAACACCAUACCCACCAAGGGCGAAUAGAGAAGUGCCGGUGACAUUCUCUCUGACAACCUGUCAUAAACAUCAUUCCGAUGGAGAAGUCCGACUAUACAACCAACAACCUUUGACAUGUGGUACUAAUGACAGUUUAUAUAGUGUUUUUAGCUAUCGAAUAGUUUUUUUUCCAUUUGAUGUUUUAUUACCGUCGAUAUCUAUAGAUGCUUAAUAUAGUACUUUACAAACUAUUUACCGGAGCCGCGAGCCAUGGCAAGCCCCAAAAUAUUGCUCUACUUCCUCUUUUCUUCAUUGAUUUCAUCCUACCGACUUUGUUUUGUAAAAUCUAAAAAUCGUAUUUUCAUUUUUCACCCGAUUUUCAUCAUUCUUAUACAAA